Molecule: non-coding RNA, 73 nt
Organism: Canis lupus familiaris (dog)
Lineage: Eukaryota; Metazoa; Chordata; Mammalia; Carnivora; Canidae
Source: Rfam
ACCUGGUGGGCUCAGUCAGUAGAGCACAUGACUCUUGAUCUUGCAGUUUUGAGUUCCAGCCUCACGUUGGGUG